This is a long non-coding RNA of Pungitius pungitius (ninespine stickleback), 1034 nucleotides long. RefSeq lists it as uncharacterized. Lineage: Eukaryota; Metazoa; Chordata; Actinopteri; Perciformes; Gasterosteidae. The record is from RefSeq and is a predicted model, not a curated record. The transcript has 4 exons.
GUGUGUUUUAGUUCCUACGUGUGUGCAGAAGCCCUCGGUCAGGGUGGAGCUGCAGGAGGAGGGUGGGCGGAGGAUAAAAGGCGGGUGCAUUGCAGUGACAGUCUUCAUCCACUGCAGACCCGUCAGGAGGAUGAGUAGGACUAUGUGGUGGCUGGUGGCCUCUGUGGCCUUCACCCUCCUCACUUCCCUGGCUAAUGGAGCUCCGUUACCCCUGAAAGCAUCGUUUUACCACUUGAUCCAGUCGUUUUAAAAUCUGGGAUCCACUCUGGAGAUUACCAACUGCCUGAAAUUGCUAGAUGGCGUGAAACAAACACAGGAGUGAACCGGGAGGAGAGGAACACUGACGAUGAGCCUGGGGGCCCCAUGUGUGCAAAGAACAAUAAUAAAGUCUGCUCUACAGCAGCUCUGUCUUAGUAGAAACCACCAGACAGCAAGAUGUCCUGGAAGAAAACUAUUUUAAGUACAGUUUGUCUCAUUUAUCUUUUUAGCUGUAACUACACCAAGAUUGUCACAGUACAGGCCCGUCCUUAUGUCAUUGGACCCAGCUAUUUCUAAAAGUCCCACACCUUCUCUUUGCUUCAAAUAAAAUACUUGAUGAAAGAGAGUAACUUUAUCCAUUGUUCACCUGUGCGUGCUCAUUGGACAUAUUAUUAAUUAAUUGAGGAUUCCUGUGCUGCUACCUGGGAGCACCCCGUCGUCUUAAGCUUCAAUCUGCACUUCACGCUUCCACUCAAAUCAUCAACUAUCACCCAACUCAAUACUACUUAGCAGGACGCCUCAUCCCCCGCACCUCUGGGCUCAGUUUCAUCCCAGGUCCGUGCACUGUUGGCUGGGAAGCAAAAGCCUGGUGCUUCCCUGAGGAUGUCCAGGUCCAAUCUGCAGCUUGCCAUUGAUGAAUUCAGUUUGGCAAACGGGCCUCUGAGGUUGUGUGUGUGUGGGAACUGCAGGCUGCACCGGAAGCAACGCGCGGGACGGUGUCGAAACGCAGAUUUUUUUGGAAACAAAGUGUCAAAACAUGACUGGAAAUGGAUCAC